RNAcentral lists this transfer RNA (73 nucleotides) under Felis catus (domestic cat). It matches the Rfam family "tRNA". Rfam says of the family: Transfer RNA (tRNA) molecules are approximately 80 nucleotides in length. Their secondary structure includes four short double-helical elements and three loops (D, anti-codon, and T loops). Lineage: Eukaryota; Metazoa; Chordata; Mammalia; Carnivora; Felidae. RNAcentral also lists the same sequence under 2 other names. The record is from Rfam by way of RNAcentral.
GCCUGGCUGGCUCAGUCGGUAGAGCAAGUGACUCUUGAUCUCUGGGUCAUGAGUUCAAGCCCCACACUGGGUG